Molecule: ribosomal RNA, 484 nt
Filed under: uncultured bacterium
Lineage: Bacteria
Description: partial 16S ribosomal RNA
Rfam family: Bacterial small subunit ribosomal RNA
Source: RNAcentral
AUUGAACGCUGGCGGCAGGCCUAACACAUGCAAGUCGAGCGGAUGAAGGGAGCUUGCUCCUGGAUUCAGCGGCGGACGGGUGAGUAAUGCCUAGGAAUCUGCCUGGUAGUGGGGGAUAACGUCCGGAAACGGGCGCUAAUACCGCAUACGUCCUGAGGGAGAAAGUGGGGGAUCUUCGGACCUCACGCUCUCAGAUGAGCCUAGGUCGGAUUAGCUAGUUGGUGGGGUAAAGGCCUACCAAGGCGACGAUCCGUAACUGGUCUGAGAGGAUGAUCAGUCACACUGGAACUGAGACACGGUCCAGACUCCUACGGGAGGCAGCAGUGGGGAAUAUUGGACAAUGGGCGAAAGCCUGAUCCAGCCAUGCCGCGUGUGUGAAGAAGGUCUUCGGAUUGUAAAGCACUUUAAGUUGGGAAGAAGGGCAGUAAGUUAAUACCUUGCUGUUCUGACGUUACCAACAGAAUAAGCACCGGCUAACUUCGUG